This 497-nucleotide ribosomal RNA is filed under the name uncultured bacterium. RNAcentral describes it as "partial 16S ribosomal RNA". It matches the Rfam family "Bacterial small subunit ribosomal RNA", at positions 28 to 507 of the family's 1533-position model. The record is from RNAcentral.
GAUGAACGCUGGCGGCGUGCCUAAUACAUGCAAGUCGAGCGAACGGACGAGAAGCUUGCUUCUCUGAUGUUAGCGGCGGACGGGUGAGUAACACGUGGAUAACCUACCUAUAAGACUGGGAUAACUUCGGGAAACCGGAGCUAAUACCGGAUGAUAUUUUGAACCGCAUGGUUCAAAAGUGAAAGACGGUCUUGCUGUCACUUAUAGAUGGAUCCGCGCUGCAUUAGCUAGUAGGUAAGGUAACGGCUUACCAAGGCAACGAUGCAUAGCCGACCUGAGAGGGUGAUCGGCCACACUGGAACUGAGACACGGUCCAGACUCCUACGGGAGGCAGCAGUAGGGAAUCUUCCGCAAUGGGCGAAAGCCUGACGGAGCAACGCCGCGUGAGUGAUGAAGGUCUUCGGAUCGUAAAACUCUGUUAUUAGGGAAGAACAUAUGUGUAAGUAACUGUGCACAUCUUGACGGUACCUAAUCAGAAAGCCACGGCUAACUACGUG